GACGCCACCUCCUGGACAGUGGGUAGUUCGUUGUCACGCGGGACCAAAUUUUGAAUUUGAAAACAGUGGAUAAAUUUAUUGUUUACUACGAUGAUGAUGAUUAUGAUUGUUAUUUAAUGAAAUAAUUAAACUAUGAUUAAGGAUAGAUGUAAUUGAUAAAAUAACUUUUAUCUGAAGACUGAAUUUUAUUAUAAAGUAUGAAUAAAACUUGAUCAGUAAUAACAGUUGUAUUCGUAAAGAGUUCUCGGAGAGAAGUCAAGUUACAUCAGACGGCAGAGAGAUCUCGGACCUCCACUCUCCAACUUCUCCCCACUACUCUCAUGUUCACACUCAUGCUUAUAUGUAUAAAUACUUAUAUAUCUAUGUUCUUUACUAAAUAUUAUACUUAUACAUUUAUACUUUCUACUAAUACGAAUUGGAGAUAUAAGCUUAUACAUUUACGUUCUUUACUUUAUCCAUUCUAUAUCUUCUUAUUACUUAUAUUAUUUAUAUUCUAUUUUCCCGUACUUGGAUACAAUCAUUCGGUUAAAUAUUCUAGACUAUCAGAGGUGUGUUCUAUAAUUAUUCUAUAUUUAGUUAUUCGUUACAAUUGACAUUAUCAUUUAUCGUGAAACAUCAUUAUAAUUAUUCUAAUGCUAUAUUUCAAUAUUUCUAUUAAUUCAUUUAUUAUAUGAAUCACUCUUUAUUUAAUAUAAAAAUAUAUAUAUUAACAAUAAUAGUUAAGUUCCUGUGAUAUGGUUUUCAUUUAUAAAUAAGAUUUAUUUAUUAUAUAUUUCCUUUUCUUGUUUGCUUAUAGAGUAUGUAUUUGUUUAUAACCAUAUUUACUGUUAACUUUAGAACAAGAGCCUAUUCAUGAUUUUUAUGCGUGUGUUUUGUUUAGGUUUUAAGUAUCAGGUGACAGAAAACGUUCCAAGACCACUCAAACUGUAUUUAUGUUUCUCUAAAUAUAAAAUAAAGUUUAUCCAUCUAUUUAUUUAACUUUCUUAUAAUAAAAAUAUAUAAUUUAAUGAGUAUGUGCCACGACGAUUUGUGAUUUAAUUUAUUUACUUCAUAUUGUUAAGACGCAAUAAGUGUUGUAGGAUAUUAAUAUAUUAUUUCAAAUGGAAUUUAAAUGCGCGCUUCUUAUAUAUCUCAAGUUUACUAAUUAAUUAACAGGUGGAGGCACCUGAGGCUGUUGAGGACAUAACACCUCCCCCGUUAAUGAAAAUUCGACAUAUCGUUCGUCGAAUUUUUCUCUCAUAUAUACACAUGUAUAUAACGAUAUAUAAUAAUAGCUAAAGCUAAUUCUGAAUGAAAUAUAAAUUCUGCAAGACAAUUACCUAUAUAAAUAAUACCAUUACUGGUUGUUAAAUCGUGGUCGCACAUUUACAUUACAAGUUACAAAAAUAAUCAUUUUUAUGAUUUAAAACUAACAGGUGAGCAGCACUAACCGGAUGUUCGAAUUUAUUUUUCUAAUUACGUUUGGAAUAAUUACGUCACUUAAAUGAUGAAAACCUUCAAAAAAAAAGUUUAUCUUAAACAUUUUUCGGAAGCUAUAAAAUUUUUGUAAUAAGAAUUGAUCAAUAAAUUCAAAGAAAAGUAAAAUUUAAAAACUCGUUUAGUACGGCCCAGCCUUAUCAUUGAGGUCACGGUGUUUACAUUUUAGCAAGAGUUUAAUCUAGACUAUGAAGUAUUAUACGGAUCAACAAGGUAAUUUAAUUUUAUAGAGUCUUUUGACGAAUUUAAAGAAAAUUUGAUUAAAGUUAUACUCGGAAAUUCUUAUCACUUAUGUUAUAUUAUUCCAGAUAUAUUAAUUUCAACUUGUUUGUAUGUACGACUUGGUAUGUGGUGGGGUGAAUUAGGUAGCUACAUUUCAUUAUUCCAGGUUUCAGUAAUUUUAUAAGGGUCUAUAUAGUUACGAUCAAGUUCGUUGGUUUUCGCGUCAUUUGCCAAAAAUACCCAAUUUCCUUAAGAAAACUUAUUAGGGUUUACCCGACAGUCACAAUAUUCCUUUGAUUUGAAUGUAGCUCUGUCUGGAUUUUCAGCAGCUUUUUAAUUGUGUUACUUGACUUAUAAUCGGCAGACUAGAAAUUACACAACAAGUAAGAUUGAUUUUCUGAUUCUUUUCGUCAGCCGUUCAGGGUUUUUAGGGUUCUUGUCAGGUUCAUCGUCUGAGGAAUAAACGUCAUUUAACAUCGGUUCAGGAAAAGUAUCAUUAUCAUUAAAAGAAUUGGCAGGGAGGUUGGUUUGAACCGGAUAUAAGAAAACUAGAUAUUUAUGACUACAAACAUUUGUUGCUGAUUCCGGAAUAUUUAAAUAUAAACUAGUUUCACUUCUUUUAGAUAACUUCAAUGUUAGUACUUAAGCAUGCAUUUCUAUAAUGUCUCUUUCAUUUUCACACAUUUCAGGCGAGGACGUCCUCUCUGGCAUCUCAUGCAUGGGGGACUCAAACCCCCACACGACAUCCGAGCUCGGUACAACAACUGCUGGGUGGUCCAACCACCCAAGGGACAGGGCUAAUAAACCCCUCUGAAGAGGGCUGCCACUCAUCCAACAACUCGUCUCCCUGGGAAGAGAGUACUGUCCUCGUUCGAGUCUCGCUUUCCGCCUCAACGUCAGGUCGGCGAGUCGUCGGGAAGGCAUCUCUAUCCUUCAGAUAUGUGCACAACGUGCCAAGGGUGGCCAUAAACUUGCUGUUUACGCCACUAUAUUUGGAGGGGGUUGUCCAACAACCCCAGGGAGUCGAUGCCAUAAUUUUUUUUUCACACUCUCUUUUUUUUUUAUCUUAUUCUGUUUUUAUCCAUGCUAAUACUCAACCUACUAUUUCCUAUGAGUUUAUCCUCAAGAAGCGGUUUCCCAAGCUUUGUGUUCUAAAUCAAUAAUAUAUUAAGUAAUUUUAUGUCAAUGGGGUUUCGAGAGAGCGCAUCAACAUUAGCGUUCAAUCGACCUUCCCUAUAAUUGACUUCAUAUUCAUAUUUCCGUACUUCAGCAACCGAUGUAGGAGUUAAGAUAUAGGAAUUUUUAUUCUAUGAGCUCACACCAAUGAUUUAUGAUCUGUGACUUUCAGGAGUUCAGGGGCAGAGUAGUAGGAAGGUAUUUUCUAAUGUCUUCUGGCUGAGAAUCGCACCGAGGGCAUAAAAAGAAGUGUUUGUUGUCGUGACGAAAAGUUUUGAAAGUGGGGGAACUGGAGAAUAAAUUAAUAUCAACUUAUAAUUAAUAUCAGAAUCUAUCGUGAAUUAAAAUUUCUCCAAAUUAAGUAGUUCAUCACUAUUAAUAGUUAUACACGGUGAGGUAAUAUGCUUGUUGUUGUGAGUUUUUAUGGAAGCGUCAUUUUGAAUAAGUUUUGUUUCAUUUGGUCUUCUGUGUGGGCUGUAUUGUCAGUUUGUUGGUCGUUGUAUGCAUUGAAAUUUUGGUUUGAUGUUGUGUUAUUUUCUCUAACCCAAGUAAACCUAUUUUUGCAGAUUUGUGCGAAAUGACCAGGCUUAGAACAUAUUGAACAAAUUACGUUCAUGGAGUUAUUACAGUCUUUUUGUAAUGUCCUCGUCCUCCACAAGAAAAACAAAUAAUCGAAUUACGGUCAAGUCGUCUUAUAUUGUCAUUGUUAUGUGUCUGAGUUACCCGUACAGUAGCCUGGUUAUUAGUUGAUGAUUCCUGUGGCAGUCUGUUAUUGUUAUGAUUUCUUCUAUCUCCAUAAUGAUUGUUCGCAAAUUUGAUAUGAUUUUGGGAACUACUAAUGGAAUAUUGGCUGGAGUAAGGAUUAUUACUACAGUGGGAAUGUAUUUUAAAAAGUGAAUUUUUUUGUUCCAAUUCUUUUUCUAAUUCUACGGCAAGAUCUACUGCUCGCGACAGAGUAAGAGGUUUUUGACUAGCAGCCCACAAUCCUAACUCUCCCCUAAGACCCCGUACGAAGCUAUCUCGAGCUCCUUCUUGGGUACUAGCUAAUAACCCGGUUCGUAUUUCACCCGAAUGCUUAUCCAUAAUUACUUCUGACGUUCCUUGAACGAUUUCGUUGAUUCUAGUAACGUAAUCUACGAUGGUUUCACCAUCCUUUUAAUAAAUAUUCGAAAGUAACGACUGCCAUUGAGAUAGAGUUCUACUCGGCACUAAAGCUCUUUUAAGAUUUCCCAAAAUCCCUUCAAAUGCUAAUCCCGAUUGAUUUGAAAUAUAUUUGCUGGCUUUACCCAAUAUACGAGAUUUUAUCAACUGAGUUAAAUACAAUUUACCAGAUGGAUGUAUUAGAUUUAAGGUUUGAUUACAAAGUUCAAUAAAAUUAUUAACUGGCAUAUUUUCUCCAUUGAAUACGGGUAUAAGGUUUAUAGCGUCUUUGAUACUCAAAAAUUGGGAAUUACUUGUAUGAACUAGAUUAUUGGUAGCAUAAUUGUGCUCAUUAUUUCCGUAGCCCGCGAGUACCGGUUCAAUUGGUACGCGAUUCGAAUUAUGAACUGGAGUAGCUGGAAUGCUAGGGGUUAUAGAAGGAGAGAUGGUGGAAAAAUUGUCAUUAUUAGUGUUCUGAAUGUCAAUAGAACUAAUCACCACUUCAGUGCUCGCGUCCGAAAUGUGUUCGUCUGUAGUCACUAAAUUAGACAUUUUCGCCUCAAAUCAUGUUAAUGCUUCUAUAGUCUUGAUUCUAUUUGAUUACUAUAUUUAAUAUAUUAAGGAAAUACUAUAUCAAAUUACAGUUGAACUUUUAAUUAUAAUUAUUAAGAUUAUGGAAUUGUAAAUAAUACAAAAUAUUAUAAUGUGUACUUAUUUCGACUGAAACUUAUGUCUGAUAGCAAUUUAAAAGUGUUAAAUAUCAAAUAAUCGUCAAAUUUCAUA
Long non-coding RNA from Microplitis demolitor, 4797 nucleotides. RefSeq lists it as uncharacterized. The transcript is spliced from 2 exons. The record is from RefSeq and is a predicted model, not a curated record. Lineage: Eukaryota; Metazoa; Arthropoda; Insecta; Hymenoptera; Braconidae.